Molecule: ribosomal RNA, 368 nt
Filed under: uncultured organism
Description: bacterial SSU rRNA
Rfam family: Bacterial small subunit ribosomal RNA
Source: RNAcentral
CGAAGGGAGCUAGCGUUGUUCGGAAUUACUGGGCGUAAAGCGCGCGUAGGUGGUCAUGCAAGUCAGGGGUGAAAUCCCACGGCUCAACCGUGGAAUUGCCUUUGAAACUGCAUGGCUAGAGUUCGGAAGAGGAGAGUGGAAUUCCUAAUGUAGAGGUGAAAUUCGUAGAUAUUAGGAGGAACACCAGUGGCGAAGGCGGCUCUCUGGUCCGACACUGACACUAAGGCGCGAAAGCGUGGGUAGCAAACAGGAUUAGAUACCCUGGUAGUCCACGCCGUAAACGAUGGAUGCUAGCCGUUGGGACUUACGUCUCAGUGGCGCAGCUAACGCGUUAAGCAUCCCGCCUGGGGAGUACGGUCGCAAGAUUA